Molecule: long non-coding RNA, 663 nt
Organism: Salvelinus fontinalis (brook trout)
Lineage: Eukaryota; Metazoa; Chordata; Actinopteri; Salmoniformes; Salmonidae
Exons: 2
Source: RefSeq, a predicted model, not a curated record
GUUGAGCGUAGCGUGGAGGGAGAGGGGAGAGAGAGUGUGUGUGUGUGGAGGCUGAUUCCUGGUUGAUGAAUCCCACAGGCGGUGCUUGGCUCUUAAAGGGGCCGAUGGCUGCUGGGCUGGCUCAAUCAAAACAGUGUUUGGCGGAGCCACUUCUGCCAUGCCUGAGGGCCAGACUGACUGAAACAAAGAAAACCAGAAACAAACGGAAGAGAGAGAGGAGAGGAACGCAAACAUCCUGGAGGAAUGUAAUGCUGCUCUGUUCUGGUGCUCUGGAGCACUGAAGCACGGCAGCAGAUGGCAACAAAGAUCUGGUAUCAGGGCACAGCACAGGGACCAUGUUGACUUUGGUUCUAUCUCUCACCCCCUGCCCAGCAAGCACUGUCUCUGGGCACAAGCCGUCUACACCGGGGCUGGAUGAAUAGAUUGAUGCACAGUGAUUCUAUAUCUCUCAUUGUUUUGGGGCGGGAGGUAGCCUAGUGGUUAGAGCGUUGGGCCAGUAACCGAAAGGAUGCUGGAUCGAAUCCUCGAGCUGACAAGGUAAACAUCUGUCGUUCUGCCCCUGAACAAGGCAGUUAACCUACUGUUCCUAGGCCGUCAUCGUAACUGAGAAUUUGUUCUUAACUGACUUGCCUAGUUAAAUAAAGGUUAAAUAAAAAAUGUAAA